This 301-nucleotide ribosomal RNA is filed under the name uncultured bacterium. RNAcentral describes it as "partial 16S ribosomal RNA". It matches the Rfam family "Bacterial small subunit ribosomal RNA", at positions 509 to 809 of the family's 1533-position model. The record is from RNAcentral.
CAGCAGCCGCGGUAAUGCAGAGGAUGCAAGCGUUAUCCGGAAUGAUUGGGUGUAAAGGGAGCGCAGGCGGGCAUGUAAGUCUUUCUUAAAAGUGCGGGGCUCAACCCCGUGAUGGGAAAGAAACUACAUGUCUUGAGUACAGGAGAGGAAAGCGGAAUUCCCAGUGUAGCGGUGAAAUGCGUAGAUAUUGGGAGGAACACCAGUGGCGAAGGCGGCUUUCUGGACUGCAACUGACGCUGAGGCUCGAAAGCCAGGGGAGCGAACGGGAUUAGAUACCCCAGUAGUCCCUGUCUCUUAUAAA